GGUCUUUCAUUGUUUUGGCCGAUACUUCUGCCUUCACUUUGAAGCCUUUCAGCUUGGUAUGGCCCCCGUUUACAUGGCUUUCCUUCGUUUCAUGGGUGAUGAGACAGAAGCCCGUAACUACAGCUAUAGCUUGGAGGUUGGGGGAAAUGGCCGAAAACUCAUUUGGGAAGGCACCCCGCGGAGCAUUAGAGAUAGCCACAGGAAGGUCAGAGAUAGCCAUGAUGGCCUCAUUAUACAGAGGAAUAUGGCUCUUUUCUUCUCUGGAGGGGAUAGGAAAGAGUUAAAGCUUAGGGUGACAGGGCGAAUAUGGAAAGAACAGCAGAACCCAGAAGGUGGGGCAUGUAUACCCAAUCUCUGCAGUUAAGGCGUGCUAUAUGCUUUUGUAAUAUUAAUUUGUUCCAUAUAUUGAAAUGCAUGUGUGAAUACUGGAAGACUGAGCUAUAUAAAUUGUCAAUAAGCCAUUGGAGAAGUUAUUCUGGCUGUAGUUUGAAUUUUUUUUUCCAUUUUACCACCUGCUUGAAAGUGUAAUGGUGUGCUUCAUAUUGUAUUCUUCAACUUUGAUGCAUAUCGAUGUUACUGCUAUAAAUAGCCAGAUCAGUUUUUGAGUCUCACACCAACUUUGGAACCUAACAUUUGUACAUUUACUUGAAAACUGGGUAAUAGAAAUCAC
RNAcentral lists this unclassified non-coding RNA (670 nucleotides) under Hevea brasiliensis (rubber tree). The record is from RNAcentral. Lineage: Eukaryota; Viridiplantae; Streptophyta; Magnoliopsida; Malpighiales; Euphorbiaceae.